This 561-nucleotide ribosomal RNA is filed under the name uncultured bacterium. RNAcentral's name for it is "bacterial SSU rRNA". It matches the Rfam family "Bacterial small subunit ribosomal RNA", at positions 28 to 590 of the family's 1533-position model. The record is from RNAcentral.
AUUGAACGCUGGCGGCAUGCCUAACACACGCAAGUCGAACGAGGUUGGCUUCGGCCAGCCUAGUGGCGGACGGGUGGGUAAUGCGUGGGAAUCUGCCUCGUAGUGGGGGAUAACGUAGGGAAACUUACGCUAAUACCGCAUACGCUCUACGGAGGAAGGGGGGGGAUCUUUGGACCUCUCGCUAUGAGAUGACCCCACGUCUGAUUAGCUAGUUGGUGGGGUAAAGGCCUACCAAGGCGACGAUCAGUAGCCGGCCUGAGAGGGUGUACGGCCACACUGGGACUGAGACACGGCCCACACUCCUACGGGAGGCAGCAGUGGGGAAUAUUGGACAAUGGGCGAAAGCCUGAUCCAGCAAUGCCGCGUGUGUGAAGAAGGCCUGCGGGUUGUAAAGCACUUUGAGUGGGGAAGAAUGGGAUUGUGCUAAUACCGUGAUCCUUUGACGUUACCCACAGAAUAAGCACCGGCUAACUCCGUGCCAGCAGCCGCGGUAAUACGGAGGGUGCGAGCGUUAAUCGGAAUUACUGGGCGUAAAGCGCAUGUAGGCGGUUUGAUAAGUCG